RNAcentral lists this ribosomal RNA (305 nucleotides) under uncultured bacterium. RNAcentral describes it as "bacterial SSU rRNA". It matches the Rfam family "Bacterial small subunit ribosomal RNA", at positions 333 to 630 of the family's 1533-position model. The record is from RNAcentral.
UAGGCCCUACGGGACGCAGCAGUAGGGAAUCUUCCACAAUGGGCGAAAGCCUGAUGGAGCAACGCCGCGUGGGUGAAGAAGGUCUUCGGAUCGUAAAACCCUGUUGUUAGAGAAGAAAGUGCGUGAGAGUAACUGUUCACGUUUCGACGUUAUCUAACCAGAAAGCCACGGCUAACUACGUGCCAGCAGCCGCGGUAAUACGUAGGUGGCAAGCGUUAUCCGGAUUUAUUGGGCGUAAAUGGAACGCAGGCGGUCUUUUAAGUCUGAUUUGAAAGCCUUCGGCUUAACCGUAGUAGUGCAUUUGA